UACGUAGGGUGCAAGCGUUGUCCGGAAUUAUUGGGCGUAAAGAGCUCGUAGGCGGUCUGUUACGUCGGCUGUGAAAACCUGGGGCUCAACCCCGGGCCUGCAGCCGAUACGGGCAGACUAGAAUUCGGUAGGGGAGACUGGAAUUCCUGGUGUAGCGGUGAAAUGCGCAGAUAUCAGGAGGAACACCGGUGGCGAAGGCGGGUCUCUGGGCCGAUAUUGACGCCGAGGAGCGAAAGCGUGGGGAGCGAACAGG
This 253-nucleotide ribosomal RNA is filed under the name uncultured bacterium. RNAcentral's name for it is "partial 16S ribosomal RNA". It matches the Rfam family "Bacterial small subunit ribosomal RNA", at positions 524 to 776 of the family's 1533-position model. The record is from RNAcentral.